This 480-nucleotide ribosomal RNA is filed under the name Tigrigobius gemmatus. RNAcentral describes it as "partial 12S ribosomal RNA". It matches the Rfam family "Bacterial small subunit ribosomal RNA", at positions 857 to 1529 of the family's 1533-position model. Lineage: Eukaryota; Metazoa; Chordata; Actinopteri; Gobiiformes; Gobiidae. The record is from RNAcentral.
GUACCCAACUGCUCGCCAGGGAACUACAAGUCCCAACUUAAAACCCAAAGGACUUGGCGGUGCUUUAAACCCCCCUAGAGGAGCCUGUUCUGGAAUCGAUAAUCCCCGAUCAACCUCACCCCCUCUUGUUCCUUCCCGCCUAUAUACCGCCGUCGUCAGCCAACCCUGUGAAGGGCCUAUAGUAGGCAAAAUCGGUAUAACCCAGUACGUCAGGUCAAGGUGUAGCGUAUGAGGGGGGAAAAAAUGGGCUACAUUUGCUGCCCCAGCAAACACGGAUGCUAUUCUGAAAGGGAUGGCUGAAGGUGGAUUUAGCAGUAAGACUGGGAGUAGAGUGCCUGCCUGAAGCUGGCCCUAAAGCGCGCACACACCGCCCGUCACUCUCCCCAACGGUAAACUAACGUGUACCUAAAAAUAAUCCCCGACAAGGGGAGGCAAGUCGUAACAUGGUAAGCGUACCGGAAGGUGCGCUUGGUUUAACCC